AGUCAGCUGUGUAAUCGCUUUGCAAUUGCAAAGAGGAAAGUCUGGGCUCCAAAGAGUAGAGUGCCAGGUAACUCCUGGGAAGUGUGAACUUACGGAAAGUGCAACAGAAAAUAUACCGCAAUUUAAUUGUAAGGGUGAAAUGGUGUGGUAAAAGCGCACCGCAGAUGUAGUAAUAUAUCUGGCAAGGUAAACCCCACUCGGAGCAAGGCCAAAUAGAAAAGUUAUAGCGUUACUCGCGCUGCUUUUGGGUAGGCUGCUAGAUAUGUUCGGCGACGAACAUACAAGAUUAAUGAUUACAAUUUACAGAACCCAGCUUAUAGGCUGACUCA
Molecule: RNase P RNA, 329 nt
Filed under: marine eukaryotic metagenome
Description: Bacterial RNase P class A
Rfam family: Bacterial RNase P class A
About the family: Ribonuclease P (RNase P) is a ubiquitous endoribonuclease, found in archaea, bacteria and eukarya as well as chloroplasts and mitochondria. Its best characterised activity is the generation of mature 5'-ends of tRNAs by cleaving the 5'-leader elements of precursor-tRNAs.
Source: RNAcentral